GAUGAACGCUGGCGGCGUGCUUAACACAUGCAAGUCGAACGAAGCACUUUAUUUGAUUUCCUUCGGGACUGAUUAUUUUGUGACUGAGUGGCGGACGGGUGAGUAACGCGUGGGUAACCUGCCUUGUACAGGGGGAUAACAGUUGGAAACGGCUGCUAAUACCGCAUAAGCGCACAGCAUCGCAUGAUGCAGUGUGAAAAACUCCGGUGGUAUAAGAUGGACCCGCGUUGGAUUAGCUAGUUGGUGAGGUAACGGCCCACCAAGGCGACGAUCCAUAGCCGAACUGAGAGGGUGACCGGCCACAUUGGGACUGAGACACGGCCCAAACUCCUACGGGAGGCAGCAGUGGGGAAUAUUGCACAAUGGGCGAAAGCCUGAUGCAGCGACGCCGCGUGAGCGAAGAAGUAUUUCGGUAUGUAAAGCUCUAUCAGCAGGGAAGAUAAUGACGGUACCUGACUAAGAAGAACCGGCUAAAUACGUG
This 481-nucleotide ribosomal RNA is filed under the name uncultured bacterium. RNAcentral describes it as "partial 16S ribosomal RNA". It matches the Rfam family "Bacterial small subunit ribosomal RNA", at positions 28 to 507 of the family's 1533-position model. The record is from RNAcentral.